UGACCUCCCGUGUGACCUUGUGAGCAGAUGGACCUGGACUGUCUUUUGAGUUUAGGCCCAGUGAGCCACUCGGGAGCCAUCUCGAAGGACUGCCUCUUUUGGCUUCACAUUUUGCUUUCUUUCUUUAAGAGUUUUUAGAUUUUUUUUGUUGUUGGCAAAUUUUCUUUUUGUUUGCUUAUUCAAAAGCUCUUUCCAGUUUUGUGGCCUUGAGUGUUGAACCCUGUUCUGUGCUGAUUGUUUGAAAAUGCUUUUUCAAGAAAGAUCACGGUUCCAAGGUCUGCGGGUGCCACGGUUUUGAAUUUACUGAAAUCACGGAUUGGAGACUUGGAAGAGCCCCCAGGUGCAUGCGGCAGACCACUUCACUGCAGAGGAGGGAUGUGUGCAGAGUCAUCUGCUUGGGUUUUUGUUUGUCUACAUGAGAGUGUCGUUUCAGUGAGAACUGCAGAGCUGUGGAGAACGUUCAAUCCCAUUGUGCAGCUGCACCUGGAACCUGGAAACUCAGAGAAGUUAAACGGUUUGUAAAUGACAUCCACAUGGAGCUGCUACUGGACUCAGAUACAGGUUUAACUUUGGCAUUAGCUGAGUGACUGCCGUGCUUGGCUAAGAUGUGUUCAUUCCCACUAAAUCUCUUGCUGCAAUGGGACCCCAGUGUCAGGGGAUGGGCCUGGUGGGAGGUGUUUGGGUUAUGGGGGUGGAUCCCUCGUGAACGGCUUCGUGUCGUUGAUCUACCAGGAGAGUGAGUUCUUGCUCUCUCAGUGCUGGGUUGGUUCUCAGGAGGAGGGAUUAGUUCCCAGGAGUGGGUUGUGGUAAAGCCCAGACACCCCUCGGAUUUGGUCCUUCUCGGCACCUUCCCACUGCCCAUUCGACCUUCUCAACCAUGUUUUGAUGCAGCAUGAAAGCUCUCGCCAGAAGCCAAGCAGGUGCCAGUGUCAGGCUUCCUGUACAGCCUGCAGAACCACGGGCUGAAUAAACUCCUUUUUUUAUGAA
Molecule: non-coding RNA, 987 nt
Organism: Callithrix jacchus (white-tufted-ear marmoset)
Lineage: Eukaryota; Metazoa; Chordata; Mammalia; Primates; Cebidae
Source: RefSeq, a predicted model, not a curated record